This 466-nucleotide long non-coding RNA is filed under the name Lathyrus oleraceus (garden pea). RNAcentral describes it as "Pisum sativum (pea) long non-coding RNA (PSAT_LNC030214)". Lineage: Eukaryota; Viridiplantae; Streptophyta; Magnoliopsida; Fabales; Fabaceae. The record is from RNAcentral.
UUUAAUGUUGAUAAACCCUAAAGUUCUCAAUAUAUAUAUACUCAUACCAAUGUUUGAGGGACACGACAAGAGACCAAAAAAAGACCUACACGCGAUGCACUAGUACCUAAGGAUAUAUCGCCAUUUGUUGGACCCCAACGUCUCUCUCUCUCUCUCUGAGACAAAAGUGAGAAAAAAAUAAUAAUAAAAAGAGAGUUUGGUCUCUCUCUCAGAAACAAAAACAAAAGCAGAGCAACGUUUUUCUGUUCUUCUUUUUCGAAGAACUCAUCACUUGCUUUACCCACCCUUUUUUCUCAUCUUCACUUCAACCGCCACCCUUGCACUUAAAACACUAUCAACACCUUCUCUCUGAAGGCAGCCUACCCUUCAAUCAUUUCAAUCUCUUACCUCCUUCACCCGCUGUACACCAUAACCACACACAAAUCAUUUCUUUUUUUUCAUAACACCUCCACAUAUAUCAACUUCU